UGGCGUUGAAUCGGUGGGUUGUUUCGGGGUGCAGUCCAUCGUGGAGCCAGCCCGAGGGUUAUGUGUUACCUCAAACCGAAUAGGCAUUUGCCGAAAGAAAACACUUUAU
RNAcentral lists this non-coding RNA (109 nucleotides) under unclassified sequences. Its description in RNAcentral is "drum RNA". It matches the Rfam family "drum RNA". From Rfam's summary of the family: Firmicutes, Bacteroidetes (1 example), Proteobacteria (2 examples), Spirochaetes (2 examples). The record is from Rfam by way of RNAcentral.